CUACGGGCCGCUGCAGUUAAGGAUCUUUUACAAUGCACGCAAGUGUGAUAGAGCGAGCCAGAGUGUUUCUCAUAUUUGAGAAACUUUUGUCUGUUGUAAAAAGACAGAUGAAUAAGGACUGGGAGAGACCGGUGCCAGCCGCCGCGGUAAUACCGGCGGUCCGAGUCGCAGCCACAAUUAUUGGGUCUAAAACAUCCGUAGCUUGUUAUGUAAGUUUCUUGUGAAAUCUUGUCUCUUAAAGGCAAGGCGUGCAAGAAAUACUGCAUGGCUUGAGACUGGAAGAAGUAAAGAGUACGGUUGAGGUAGUGGUAAAAUACGUUAAUCUUAACUGGACUAACAAUAGCGAAGGCACUUUACUAGUACAGAUCUGACAGUGAGGGAUGAAGGCUAGGGUCGCAAAACGGAUUAGAUACCCCCGUAGUC
Molecule: ribosomal RNA, 423 nt
Filed under: uncultured archaeon
Lineage: Archaea
Description: partial 16S ribosomal RNA
Rfam family: Archaeal small subunit ribosomal RNA
Source: RNAcentral